Vespula pensylvanica (western yellowjacket) is the source of this 2941-nucleotide long non-coding RNA. RefSeq lists it as uncharacterized. Lineage: Eukaryota; Metazoa; Arthropoda; Insecta; Hymenoptera; Vespidae. The transcript is spliced from 3 exons. The record is from RefSeq and is a predicted model, not a curated record.
AGAGAGAGAGAGAGAAAAUGAAAGAAAGACACACCUGGUACCUUAAAAAAGAGCAGGUCGAUCAUCAGCAAGGAAAGCGACACGCGGUGCUGUCGUCCGUAAAAGUUUUGCCUUUGUGGUAAUCGGUUCACGCGGCUGCGCACGUUGACUAGAAUCUUCAAGGUUAUCGUUCCACUAGUACAUAAGGCAAAGGGUAGUCGAGAAAGGUAUGGAACGUUACUUACCGAAUCAGACUGUACUAUUUCCCUUCUUUUCUACGUUUCAUUCCAAAAGUAUCGAAAAUAAAAUUUUGUCUCCUCUUUGUUACCUAUCGAAACGUUCGAAAUUCGAGAACAAUAAUAAUAACAAAAAAAAAAACGUCGACGACCUUGAGUGGAAGGUCACGCGUUGGAGAGAGUCAAUACGAAGCUUAUCUCGUGAAGAGAGGGAGAAUGAUACGGGGAGAUAGGGAAGGAAGAUGGCCGAAAAAUUCAUCGAAGUGAAGAAGGAAGUAAAAAAGAGAAGAAAAAAGGAGAAGAUAGAAGAAGAUAGCAGAUAAAAAAAAGAAAUAGGUAGAAGUGAGAAAUGGGAGAGCGGUGUCAUUAGGCAUAGGACAGAGGUUGCCGUCGGUCAACCCCUGACGAUUUUAGUGCUGACUAUGGGUGGUAGCGAGAGAAGAGAAGAGAAGAGAAGAGAAGAGAAGAGAAGAGAAGAGAAGAGAACAGGAGGAAGAGGAAUAGGAUGAUGAAGAGAGGUAGGGGUAGGAAAAGGGUAGGAAGGGGUUGUAGUCUCGGUGGCGCGGAGUCGUGGCUGAUCGAUGCGACGGCAGUGCCGCCAGGUGGCGGAGAUGUAGAGGCUGAUGCAAAAGGGGUAACAGGGGGUUGGAAAAGGGUGGCAGUGGCCCUGCACUCUCUCCUCCUCUUAACACUCCUCCUCGACGUUUUCCUAGUGUACCCCACCACCGGCAAUAGCACUACCACCACCACCACCACCACCACCACCACCACCACCACCACCACCACCACCACCACCAUCGCCACCAUUGCCAUCAGCACCAGCUCCGUUAUACUACGUGUACGCACGUACUAACCGAGCGGCGCACGUUGGAGCGGAGCGGCGCAGAUUUCGAGAGGACGACGCGAGUCUCGACGACGACGGACGACUACAACGACUACAACGACUACGACGACUACGACGACUACGACUACGACGACUACAACGACUACAACGACUACGACGACUACGACGACGAAAACGGACUUUCUCUCUUUUCUCUCCUCUCAGUUCUCGCCUGGAUACCGUCCGGUUGAGAGGUAGGCCGGCCUCCGGAGUACAGAGACGCUCGUGCGCAACACGCAAACUCUCUUAUACGGCAUACACCAUCACCUACACGCUCUCACACCCACACUUAGAGAUAUACACAUAUACGUACAAACACUAACACGGAUCGGCGAGCGUCGAUCCUCCUCUUACUCGCGGCGAUGGCCGAGCUUUCGCGACAGUCACGCGUUAUGUCCGAUCGUGCGAUCGUUUUCCUCCUCGACAAGGUAUCAUCGUGACGAUUGCUCCUCUUAUCGAGAGAGGAAAGACGACACUGUCCGGUGAUUCCCUUUGACGAAGUGCCGGAGUAAAAGUGACCUCACGUGGACCUCGCACAGGAAUCCUUAGUUCCCAAAAGUAUCUCGAAACGACUCGAUCUCCUUGCAAUUUUUUCCCAUCUAAAGUCGUCGUUACCGAAGAAAAAAAUUCUUUAGUUCGAUAAGAUCUUAUGGUGCUCGUUAGUGGUGAUUAAUCGAAUCUCUUUGAUGAGUUCGAAGUAAGUUCAGGCAUGGUUGUCUUUUGCUCGUUAACUUUCUCUCUGUCACCGUAAUGCGGAUAGACGGAGACAUAUCUUAUAAUUUAUCUUUCGAAAGGAAUUUCGGUGAAUAACGGGGAGAUAAAGCAACGACGUUUCAACGCGAAUGGUGCACGGCCUCUCACCGUUCCUCGUGAAAUAAUAAGCCGCAGUAAAUUAGCUCGAGCUUGGUGGUGACUUUACUUCGUAGAGCACGCGACUGCACUUAGUUCUUCCUUGACUGUGCCAACUCUUACUUUUUCUUCUUCUUUCUCUCUAUAUAUCUAUCUAUCUCUGUCUAUUUCUCUUUCUUGUUUUAUCUAUUUAGGUUAUUCACGGCAAGUCUACGAUCAAUUCGAAGGAACGAAACUAGAAAUGUACGCUCUCAAACCUAUAAAAAGAUGUUCCAUGUUCUCGGCCCAGAGAUUUAAUCCUUUUGCUAGUUGAGCACGGAGAUACACGCGUUCAUGUUAGACAUUCGCUAUUUCUACAUCAAGAUUAGUGUACUUACCUACUCUCGUGGCUUAUUCGCAAAAGUGUACAGUGUCUUUGAUCAUCUAACUGAAUAGGAUAACGUAUAAUACGAAACUGGAUAAAGAUUAUCAAGAGAUAGAUCGAUAAAUUUAAAAAGAAAUUAAUGAAAUUCGUAGAAAAGUUUUAUUUGAAACAAAAUCGUGAAGAUUAAUCGUCGAAUUUGUGGUAAUUAAAAGCCGGUUGUUCGAUUAUGAUAUUAGAAAUUAGAUUUCUUAUAUGUAGGGGUAACCAUCGAGUUAUCUCGACGGAGAUAAUUAGUUUCUAUUUUCUUUUUCUUGUUUUUUCUUUUUCUUUUUUUUUCUCUUUUAAGGACCUAGCAAUUUUCUUAUCCCUUCCGUUUCCGUAGGCGUCGUGUAAUCGCCCGAGGGACUGUCCUCGGCCAGUGUGCCAAAAAUAGACACGCUAGGAUUGGCAUACAGGGUAUCGUCCGAGGGGGUUAGGAGGUAUCGAGAGUAGCUCGAUAAAGGGGAUGAGGAGAGGAAAAGAGAAGAUGUCGUUGAGAAAGUCGUAGAAGAACAGCGGACGGUGUCGGUGUUUUCGGGUGCGAGAAAAGAAGCAGAAGAAGAAGAAGAAGAAGAAAAAGAAGAAAAAGAA